This 253-nucleotide ribosomal RNA is filed under the name uncultured bacterium. RNAcentral describes it as "partial 16S ribosomal RNA". It matches the Rfam family "Bacterial small subunit ribosomal RNA", at positions 524 to 776 of the family's 1533-position model. The record is from RNAcentral.
UACAGAGGGUGCGAGCGUUAAUCGGAAUUACUGGGCGUAAAGCGCACGUAGUCGGCUUUGCAAGUCGGGUGUGAAAUCCCCGGGCUCAACCUGGGAACUGCAUCCGAGACUGCAUCGCUAGAACGUCGGAGAGGUAAGUGGAAUUCCGAGUGUAGAGGUGAAAUUCGUAGAUAUUCGGAAGAACACCAGUGGCGAAGGCGACUUACUGGACGACUGUUGACACUGAGGUGCGAAAGCGUGGGGAGCAAACAGG